Prunus dulcis (almond) is the source of this 306-nucleotide long non-coding RNA. RefSeq lists it as uncharacterized. NCBI's taxonomy places the organism in Eukaryota, Viridiplantae, Streptophyta, Magnoliopsida, Rosales, Rosaceae. The transcript has 3 exons. The record is from RefSeq and is a predicted model, not a curated record.
CGAGACUGGAUAUUUAUUUGUUUCUUUUUAUCAUCAUCUAAAGUCUUAUUUGGGCAGUUAGCUAUAACUAUUGUUUUAUUUGGCUUGUAUAUUUUCAUGUUUACAGGACUUCCCAACCCAUUGAACAUGAAACUUCACUGCAAUCAAUGGUAUUCCAACUAGCGGCCCAUCCACCCUUCCCAGCAUCUGAUAAGGGUUGGGGUAAAGAAUUAGGCCAAGUACAAUCCUAAUAUACUAUUUUGGAGUCUAUUUAUUUGGCUACUUGAAUUUGUAAUAUUUUCAUUGUAUCUGGAGAUUGUAUUUUUU